RNAcentral lists this ribosomal RNA (263 nucleotides) under uncultured bacterium. RNAcentral's name for it is "partial 16S ribosomal RNA". It matches the Rfam family "Bacterial small subunit ribosomal RNA", at positions 1240 to 1500 of the family's 1533-position model. The record is from RNAcentral.
CAAAGGGAAGCGAGACGGUGACGUUAAGCAAAUCCCAAAAAUAACGUCCCAGUUCGGAUUGUAGUCUGCAACUCGACUACAUGAAGCUGGAAUCGCUAGUAAUCGCGAAUCAGAAUGCCGCGGUGAAUACGUUCCCGGGUCUUGUACACACCGCCCGUCACACCAUGGGAGUCAGUAACGCCCGAAGCCGGUGACCCAACCUAAUCAGGAGGGAGCCGUCGAAGGCGGGACGGAUGACUGGGGUGAAGUCGUAACAAGGUAGC